This 484-nucleotide ribosomal RNA is filed under the name uncultured bacterium. Its description in RNAcentral is "partial 16S ribosomal RNA". It matches the Rfam family "Bacterial small subunit ribosomal RNA", at positions 29 to 507 of the family's 1533-position model. The record is from RNAcentral.
AUUGAACGCUGGCGGCAUGCUUUACACAUGCAAGUCGAACGGCAGCGCGGGCUUCGGCCUGGCGGCGAGUGGCGAACGGGUGAGUAAUGCAUCGGAACGUGCCCAGUCGUGGGGGAUAGCCCGGCGAAAGCCGGAUUAAUACCGCAUACGACCUGAGGGUGAAAGAGGGGGACCGAAAGGCCUCGCGCUAUUGGAGCGACCGAUGUCGGAUUAGCCAGUUGGUGGGGUAAAGGCUUACCAAGGCGACGAUCCGUAGCUGGUCUGAGAGGACGACCAGCCACACGGGGACGGAGACACGGCCCAGACUCCUACGGGAGGCAGCAGUGGGGAAUUUUGGACAAAGGGGGCAACCCUGAUCCAGCCAGGCCGCGGGCGGGAAGAAGGCCUUCGGGUUGUAAACCGCUUUUGUUCGGGAAGAAAUCCUCUGGGCUAAUACCCCGGGGGGAUGACGGUACCGGAAGAAUAAGCACCGGCUAACUACGUG